This 227-nucleotide ribosomal RNA is filed under the name uncultured bacterium. RNAcentral's name for it is "partial 16S ribosomal RNA". It matches the Rfam family "Bacterial small subunit ribosomal RNA", at positions 260 to 504 of the family's 1533-position model. The record is from RNAcentral.
AACGGCCACCAAAGCGACGAUCGGUAGCCGGACUGAGAGGUUGAACGGCCACAUUGGGACUGAGACACGGCCCAGACUCCUACGGGAGGCAGCAGUGGGGGAUAUUGCACAAUGGAGGAAACUCUGAUGCAGCAACGCCGCGUGAGGGAAGAAGGUCUUCGGAUUGUAAACUUCUGUUCUUAGUGACGAUAAUGACGGUAGCUAAGAAGAAAGCUCCGGCUAACUAC